RNAcentral lists this long non-coding RNA (267 nucleotides) under Gossypium barbadense (sea-island cotton). RNAcentral's name for it is "long non-coding RNA (GBAR_LNC000591)". Lineage: Eukaryota; Viridiplantae; Streptophyta; Magnoliopsida; Malvales; Malvaceae. The record is from RNAcentral.
AGAACAGAGCGGUGCCAACUAAUAGGAACACCAGUUUUGGAGUGACUGGAAGACGGAGAUCGAAGAUGGUGAGAGAUUUGCCUAACCUAAGAAAAUUCAAUGAACUGAUGAAGGAGAAAAAUGGAGGAUUUGAUUUAGGGAUUUUGAUUUGGGGUUUGAAUGAAAUAAUGAAGAAGAAUAAUGGAGAGUUUAAUUUAGGGCUUUUUGAAGAAGAAGAAUGUAUUUGGGAGUUUGAAUGAGCUCAUGAUUGAUGAAGAACUAAAGUAA